UACGGAAGGCAGCAGUGGGGAAUAUUGCACAAUGGGCGCAAGCCUGAUGCAGCCAUGCCGCGUGUAUGAAGAAGGCCUUCGGGUUGUAAAGUACUUUCAGUCGUGAGGAAGGUGUUAAGGUUAAUAACCUUAGCAAUUGACGUUAGCGACAGAAGAAGCACCGGCUAACUCCGUGCCAGCAGCCGCGGUAAUACGGAGGGUGCGAGCGUUAAUCGGAAUUACUGGGCGUAAAGGGCACGCAGGCGGUUAAUUAAGUUGGAUGUGAAAUCCCCGGGCUUAACCUGGGAAUGGCAUUCAAGACUGGUUAGCUAGAGUCUUGUAGAGGGGGUAGAAUUCCAUGUGUAGCGGUGAAAUGCGUAGAGAUGUGGAGGAAUACCGGUGGCGAAGGCGGCCCCUGGACAAAGGCUGACGCUCAUGUGCGAAAGCGUGGGGAGCAAA
RNAcentral lists this ribosomal RNA (438 nucleotides) under uncultured bacterium. RNAcentral describes it as "bacterial SSU rRNA". It matches the Rfam family "Bacterial small subunit ribosomal RNA", at positions 340 to 772 of the family's 1533-position model. The record is from RNAcentral.